UGAGGAAUAUUGGUCAAUGGGCGCAAGCCUGAACCAGCCAUACCGCGUGAAGGAUGAAGGCGCUAUGCGUUGUAAACUUCUUUUCUGCAAGAAGAAACUUUCGUACGUGUACGGAACUGACGGUAUUGCAGGAAUAAGCAUCGGCUAACUCCGUGCCAGCAGCCGCGGUAAUACGGAGGAUGCGAGCGUUAUCCGGAUUUAUUGGGUUUAAAGGGUGCGUAGGCGGCUUAUUAAGUCAGUGGUGAAAGCCUGGAGCUUAACUCCAGAACUGCCAUUGAUACUGAUAAGCUUGAGUACAGUUGAGGUGGGCGGAAUGUGUCAUGUAGCGGUGAAAUGCGUAGAUAUGACACAGAACACCGAUUGCGAAGGCAGCUCACUAAGCUGAAACUGACGCUGAGGCACGAAAGCGUGGGGAGCAAACAGG
This 424-nucleotide ribosomal RNA is filed under the name uncultured bacterium. RNAcentral describes it as "bacterial SSU rRNA". It matches the Rfam family "Bacterial small subunit ribosomal RNA", at positions 355 to 776 of the family's 1533-position model. The record is from RNAcentral.